This 506-nucleotide ribosomal RNA is filed under the name uncultured bacterium. RNAcentral's name for it is "partial 16S ribosomal RNA". It matches the Rfam family "Bacterial small subunit ribosomal RNA", at positions 29 to 523 of the family's 1533-position model. The record is from RNAcentral.
AGUGAACGCUGGCGGUAGGCCUAACACAUGCAAGUCGAACGGCAGCACAGAGGAGCUUGCUCCUUGGGUGGCGAGUGGCGGACGGGUGAGGAAUACAUCGGAAUCUACUCUGUCGUGGGGGAUAACGUAGGGAAACUUACGCUAAUACCGCAUACGACCUACGGGUGAAAGCAGGGGAUCUUCGGACCUUGCGCGAUUGAAUGAGCCGAUGUCGGAUUAGCUAGUUGGCGGGGUAAAGGCCCACCAAGGCGACGGUCCGUAGCUGGUCUGAGAGGAUGAGCAGCCACACUGGAACGGGGACACGGUCCAGACUCCUACGGGAGGCCGCAGUGGGGAAUAUUGGACAAUGGGCGCAAGCCUGAUCCAGCCAUACCGCGUGGGUGAAGAAGGCCUUCGGGUUGUAAAGCCCUUUUGUUGGGAAAGAAAUCCAUCUGGUUAAUACCCGGGUGGGAUGACGGUACCCAAAGAAUAAGCACCGGCUAACUUCGUGCCAGCCGCCGCCGUAA